ACUGGACAGAGUGUGGUGUGGAGUGGGGCAGGGCUUGCGGGUUGUGCGGUGGCAUGCAUGCAAAGGGAAUGACUGCGGGCGGGGGUAUGGUGAAACGGAAUCGGCGUUGUCAUGUUGCCACACAAUUUGAGGUACACCGAUGCUGCUGCCGCGGCCACAUAGGUGAUGCCAUUAUCGUUAGCCAUUGCAUAAAUAUGCCACGAACACACAUAACUAUUCCAGAGAUACGCUGAUUACCGACAGACGGACAUCUCCAUUGGCCGCUUCGAGGGCCCUCCAUCUGUCUGGAUGGGGCUGGCAUUGCUCGAUGCAGUCAAUUGCCGCGUGAUGUUAAUUGAUUUUUAAGUGGCGUGUCCUAUGGCUAACUGCAAUCAGACACACGAAUUAUUAUAAUGCGCCAACGAGCAAAAACCGUCAAGGUAAUCAAUAAUAAAAAGGUUACAGGCAAGGACACAGCUCGACUGUGUGCUACCCUGUGCCUAAACGGCAGCUAAUAGAUUUGGGCAUCCGCUGGAUCGUUAGUUAUGUAUUAGGGCAGGUUAAUUGAAUCGGCCGAACUAUGCCUGGGGUCGGACCGUAAUCCCUGAUUGAUUUCGAUUGUUAAACACGCUUCAACAGAGAGCCCGUGACAGAGUUUCCGUUUACCCUCCACCGGCCCUUCCGGGCAUGUCCAUCCGGUAUAAUCACAUUUAAUGUUGAAUGCACUUCAUUUUUUGCCCCAACUAAAUGCCAAUUAAAAUUCGUAAUUAUUUUUUAAUGGCAUUUUGUGGUCAAUAUCCGAUGAAUGAUUGAACAGUUGAAAGUACUCUAUGGUGCGGUGAGGCGGUGGUCCGUUUUGGGUUUGGCAAUGUUGACGGGAUGCCGUCGUGACGCUUCACAUUUAUGACGAGCAAAUGGCCAAUAUCAAUAUCAAUUGCAUGACUUGCCAAACUGGCGCCAGUCUAAAAGUGCCCUUACACAUGGUCCCAGGCAAGGCGUCAUCGUCAUCAUCAUCAUCAUCAUCAUCAUCGUGUAAGGAGAAACCCCCCAAUGGAAUGGUGGUAAAACUUACAAGCAAUUGCAGCAUGAGUACAAAAACUACAAGAAAUUGCAAUAAGAACCUUUGUCGGAGUGCCGGAGCCAGUGGCCCCGCAGCAAUUGACCUGCUCAAUGAAAUUCAAGCAAUCAUCACUAUCAACAUUUCGUUUCGUUUCGAUUCGAUUCGAUUGGACACGCUACAACAUGCCACCGCACAUGCC
This 1238-nucleotide long non-coding RNA is filed under the name Drosophila guanche. The record is from RNAcentral. Lineage: Eukaryota; Metazoa; Arthropoda; Insecta; Diptera; Drosophilidae.